RNAcentral lists this ribosomal RNA (253 nucleotides) under uncultured bacterium. RNAcentral's name for it is "partial 16S ribosomal RNA". It matches the Rfam family "Bacterial small subunit ribosomal RNA", at positions 524 to 776 of the family's 1533-position model. The record is from RNAcentral.
UACGGAGGGUGCAAACGUUGCUCGGAAUCAUUGGGCGUAAAGCGCACGUAGGCGGCUUGUUAAGUCAGGGGUGAAAUCCUGGAGCUCAACUCCAGAACUGCCUUUGAUACUGGAAGUCUUGAGUUCGAGAGAGGUGAGUGGAACUGCGAGUGUAGAGGUGAAAUUCGUAGAUAUUCGCAAGAACACCAGUGGCGAAGGCGGCUCACUGGCUCGAUACUGACGCUGAGGUGCGAAAGCGUGGGGAGCAAACAGG